CGCUGUCAUUGAUUCCAACCCAAAGUGUGAAUGCGAACAAAAAUUCCUUGAAGUUCACCAUUCCAUUUUUAUCCCAGUCCAUCUCUUCAAAUCUUUUCAUUGCUAUUCUUCCAGAAGAACGUUCCCCAGAUUCGUUUAUGGCUUGAACCAUCUCAUUCUUGCUCACAUAACCAUCCUUAUUCUUGUCCAAGAACACAAAUGCAUCAACUAGUGUUUCAAAUGUGGCCUCCAAAUUUGGCAUUCCCAUCCUUGAUUUAGCAUGAAGAGCAGUAGGAUCAUGUUUAAGAAGAUAGACAAGACAGAGAAGUACAAUGAACUCGUUGAACUUCAUCCCCAUAUCACCAUUAAUAU
This 351-nucleotide unclassified non-coding RNA is filed under the name Hevea brasiliensis (rubber tree). The record is from RNAcentral. Lineage: Eukaryota; Viridiplantae; Streptophyta; Magnoliopsida; Malpighiales; Euphorbiaceae.